GAUCCUGGCUCAGGAUGAACGCUAGCUACAGGCUUAACACAUGCAAGUCGAGGGGCAGCAUUUUAGUUUGCUUGCAAACUAAAGAUGGCGACCGGCGCACGGGUGAGUAACACGUAUCCAACCUGCCGAUAACUCGGGGAUAGCCUUUCGAAAGAAAGAUUAAUAUCCGAUGGUAUAUUAAAACCGUAUGGUUUUACUAUUAAAGAAUUUCGGUUAUCGAUGGGGAUGCGUUCCAUUAGUUUGUUGGCGGGGUUAACGGCCC
Molecule: ribosomal RNA, 262 nt
Filed under: uncultured bacterium
Lineage: Bacteria
Description: partial 16S ribosomal RNA
Rfam family: Bacterial small subunit ribosomal RNA
Source: RNAcentral